Molecule: long non-coding RNA, 3287 nt
Filed under: Nicotiana tabacum (common tobacco)
Lineage: Eukaryota; Viridiplantae; Streptophyta; Magnoliopsida; Solanales; Solanaceae
Description: long non-coding RNA (NTAB_LNC003902)
Source: RNAcentral
UUUCAUUUUCCCUCUCUUUAUUUCUCGAAAAUGCAACCUCGUUUUAAGCGGUUUUCAUUAUUCUUUUUUUAUUAUUAUAAUUUUAGUUCUUUUUCUUUUACUAAAAUGCUGAACACAUGUGCUCAUAUUUCUAAAACAUCGAAGCUCUACAGAGUGGGGACUCUGAGAUAAACCCUAAAAAUCUCAAUAGAUCUAUUAGAAAUCGGAACGAUUUAUCUUUGCAAAACAGAGAAAGGAAGCUCUCGAGUCUGAUGUUCAAAGGCCAGAAUAAGGCAAAGGAAUCUCUGAACUCUAAUGCUUAAAGUUUUAACUGUGUUCCUUCUUCAACUUUCUUUGUCAGUAGCCUGAAUCGGAAGGAAGAGAACCCAGAGCCAGAUCUUUCCUUCUUUCUUGAUUUUCAACCUUUUUGAGGUAUAUCUAAUUUCUUGUCUUGUGAAUGAUUGUUUGUUGAAAUUUUUGUAUAUAUUUUUGAAGUUAGGAUUUUGAAUUUAUAUAUGUGUUGAAAGUUUCUGGAGAUGAUUUUCAAUCUUCUAAUUUAUGUCUCUCUCUUGUAGUUAGGGUUUGGAAUUUUAUAUCCCUGUUGAUGUGAGUGUAUAUUUUUGUGUAGGUAUAUAUGUGUUUUUCUCUCUUUUUUAUUGUGUUGGUUAUCUGCUUGUCCAUUCUAUUAUUUGUGUUUGUGCCAAUGUUGCUCUAUUUUUUAAGGAAAAGAUUAGUGUUUGUUCCAUUAAUUUGCUCGUGCGUCCAUGAGUAAUUUAAAUUUCCUGUAUACGGAAUCCAAUUUGACAAAACAGAAAAUAUGGAUUUGAAAUGACUGAGACUACAAGUUUGGAUUUAAAAAAAUAUUUGAGAAAAGAAAUUUUAGUUUGGCUGCAAUGAACGACAAUAAAGCUCCAACCAUUUGAGUGAACUUGGAAAUUAAGGAGUAAAUUCUAAGAAUGCAGAAUUAACGACAGAAUAUUUUAUUGCAGAAAUGCAUUAAACUUUUUAAUAAGAUAACAAAUGUAACCCUACGGUAAAGGGAGGAUGAUGAGCUUAUUCAGUUGAUAAUGUUUACAUUGUUGUGCACAAGUUUGAAAAUCUUAAGAUAAUAAGAAAGAGAUAACAAAAGUAAAAUAUAAUCAGUAGGAGAUCUAGGUGGACUGUGCUCCUUGCUACUUCACUUCCAUAAACAUAGAUAAAUAUUUUUUUAAAAAUGUAUUUGCAGUAUCAAUGUGUCAUGCUUAACCGAGUUGAUUUCUUGAUACAUGUUCGAUGAAUCAACUACAGGCGAAAUGUCAUCAACAAAACAUUUCCAUUUCAUGCGACAUGCCUCAUAAGAUGCAAAGCAAGUGGAUGCAAUAGUGGGAAUUGGUUGAGUCAUUAGCAGUGCAUUACAGUUUUCUCAUGUGCAUAAGGUGUCCAAUGUGUUCUCGUUUUGUACUGUUUGUUCUCUCUACCUCUUUUACUUCUUUUCUAUUUCAACUUAAGUUUGUUGUAACUUCUUCAACAGGGAUAAGGUAAUAUGGGGUUUAGGAUAUACUUUCUUUAGAAAUUUUUUCCGAUUAUCUUCUUCUAAAGAAAGAUGACCAUUACAUUCUUUGCGCAUCUACAGCAACGUGCAGAGUGUCAACCAUGUUAUUUUUUGCUGCAUUGAGAAUGUCCUCUUGGUUAGUUUGGAUGCCAUGGUACUGUCAUAGACACUUAACUAACUUUCCUGCCUUUUAUCUUCCUUGUGCAUUGUUAUGGUAGCUACUGCCUCAUGUUAUUUUUUUCCAGAAAUUUGAAUGUGUAACCAUUUGGAAAUUGUAAACCUAGAGUUUUUAGAAUACCUACUGGAGCGUUAGCUAUUGUCUUUUCUUAUAUCUGCUAAACGCUGUUAUUAUUGGAAAAAAUUGUGCCUCUAUUUUCAGUUUAUAACAUGUCUGAGCUGCAGAAUUAUGUUCUCAUUUUAGAUUAGUAUAGAGUUUCUUUCACCCAAAUUGUCCACAUACAAAUUCUAGGUUCUACUAUUUGAAUGAUACUCGAGAGGCUUUGUCCAGUCGCGCACUAGCAGGUUUGCCUUUCCGAAUUUUUGGAAAUUUUGGGGUUGUGGAUGUUCUCUAACCUUGUUUCUCUAUGCUCUUCCUGCUUUUAGAUAUCCCUUGUUCUUCCUUUUUGCGUUCUGUCCAACGGUACGCUUCUAGAUUUCUCUUUUGUAAUUAAUCUAUUAUCUUAGCUUAAUCGAGCCAAUGAUUUACUUUGUAGCAAUCAAAGAAAAUUUUGAGGCUGAUAAGAAACAAGUAGACCAAAAAUGUGGUACUGAUUCUGCAAGUUAAGACUAUCAAUCUUUAGAGGUUGAGACUUUCUACUCCAAUAAGCUCUUCUUGUCUCUUGUUUGCUUUAUGUACUGAUCAAUAUAUUUGUUUCAUUUACGAGACUAUUUUAUCUCGUUAUUUACUUGUUAUGGGGUUAUUUAUUUCUUUUAUUCAAUAGGGAUAUCCGUUGUGACUUGCAUUUUGCAUAUACAAUUGAAAUCCAGUAGAAACUAGAGGCUGGAAAAUGCCUCACUUUCAAAUGGCCUUUCUUUUCUUUUUUUGCUGAUCUGGAUAGUUCUUCCUACAGAGGACUCUUUUUCUUGAUGUCACAACUAUAGUUUCUACCUUUAUGUUUUUUUUUGUUCUGGUUGGGCAUUCAACUUUGUUGAAGUUUCAAUUUUGGAUUGUUAGUAGUUCAACAUUUAGAUCAUUACAUUUUGAAGUGAAAAGGUAAAUUAUAUUGAGAAAUGGAGUUUCUUGUUGGUACCUUUUUAGGUGAAAAACCUUGAACCAUUACAGGUGAAUGACUUAUGCUUUGGUGGAUUUAUACAUCUAGCAUUCUUUCAUAAUGAAUUUGUUUUGCUACUCCAGAAAAAUAUUGGUUGGAUGAGUACUUAAACUAUAAUCCUAUUCUAUAAGAGCAAUGGUUAUCCAGAACCUUACUGAUUUGUAUUUUAGCAUUCAACUUUGUGAUUUUUAGUCAAUUCUAUGUAACCAAAUUUGAUAAGAUUAUUUUGAUGAUUUUGCAGUUGAAGCAAUUAAACAAAUGGUAGAUAAAAGCAGUGAAGAUCUACUUAAGAGUAUUGAAUGAAAGUUGCUAGACCUUUAGAUAUUCUAGAAAUCCUUUAUUAUCGAACUUUUGCAAACUUAUGUAUGGUAACUCUUGAAUUGUCAAACGAUAUUGUAUAUUUUGUUUUCACAUAUGGUAAUACUAGUUGGAUGUUUAGAAUUAUAAUUUCAUUCUUAUAUAGGCAAAUUAUUAUUGUAAUAGACCACCGGAAAGUUGCAAUAGCC